CAGAGGGUGCAAACGUUGUUCGGAAUUACUGGGCGUAAAGCGCAUGUAGGCGGUUCGUAAAGUCAGACGUGAAAGCCCUGGGCUUAACCCAGGAAGUGCAUUUGAAACUCACGAACUGGAGUCCCGGAGAGGAAGGCGGAAUUCUCGGUGUAGAGGUGAAAUUCGUAGAUAUCGAGAGGAACAUCGGUGGCGAAGGCGGCCUUCUGGACGGUGACUGACGCUGAGAUGCGAAAGCGUGGGGAGCAAACAGGAUUAGAUACCCUGGUAGUCCACGCCGUAAACGAUGGGUGCUAGGUGUCGCGGGCUUUGACUCCUGCGGUGCCGUAGCUAACGCAUUAAGCACCCCGCCUGGGGAGUACGGCCGCAAGGCUA
This 372-nucleotide ribosomal RNA is filed under the name uncultured organism. Its description in RNAcentral is "bacterial SSU rRNA". It matches the Rfam family "Bacterial small subunit ribosomal RNA", at positions 526 to 896 of the family's 1533-position model. The record is from RNAcentral.